This 447-nucleotide long non-coding RNA is filed under the name Prunus persica (peach). RNAcentral describes it as "long non-coding RNA (PPER_LNC000432)". The record is from RNAcentral. Lineage: Eukaryota; Viridiplantae; Streptophyta; Magnoliopsida; Rosales; Rosaceae.
GGGCUUGCUGAGCUUGUUUUGGAUUCUUUUGGAAAUUUUGUGUUGGGCUUAUUUUAAGUUAAUUAAUGGCAGAGAUGUAAUUUAUAGGAACUUCAAUACUAAUUUUAUAUGUAGUAAAUGGUUUUUGGGUGUGUUUCUAAAGUGCAUUCUAUGUAGGGUUUUUUUAUAAUUACAGCCCCUAUUUUGGGUAUAUUACUAAAGCUCCCUUUUUUUUUUCAUAGGAUUUUAUAAGCAAAGUUCCUUACCUUUGUCGUUUAUCAGACAAUAAGUGGUGGGUUUGUUGGGCUUGGGUAUGGAUUUGGCAAUAAAAUAAAAACUCAUUAAUAAAAAACUCCUACGUUUUUAUUUCCGAUUCAUGACUUUUUUCAUUCCUAAUAAGUGCCUACUUUUUCUUUUCUAAAUUUUGUUGAGAGGGCAAAGCUAGGUUUUAAAAGUUGUAGAAUCAUU